Ribosomal RNA from Erinaceus europaeus (western European hedgehog), 131 nucleotides. The record is from Ensembl. NCBI's taxonomy places the organism in Eukaryota, Metazoa, Chordata, Mammalia, Eulipotyphla, Erinaceidae.
GUCUACAGCCAUACCACCCUGAACACACCCCCAUCUCAUCUGAUCGCAGAAGCUAAGCAGGGUGGGGCCUGGUUAGUACUUGGAUUACCUGGUUAGUACUUAAUGUUAAGGGAGUCUGGCAGUAGUGCAGC